GAUGAACGCUGGCGGCGUGCCUAAUACAUGCAAGUCGAGCGAACGGACGAGAAGCUUGCUUCUCUGAUGUUAGCGGCGGACGGGUGAGUAACACGUGGAUAACCUACCUAUAAGACUGGGAUAACUUCGGGAAACCGGAGCUAAUACCGGAUAAUAUUUUGAACCGCAUGGUUCAAAAGUGAAAGACGGUCUUGCUGUCACUUAUAGAUGGAUCCGCGCUGCAUUGGCUAGUUGGUAAGGUAACGGCUUACCAAGGCAACGAUGCAUAGCCGACCUGAGAGGGUGAUCGGCCACACUGGAACUGAGACACGGUCCAGACUCCUACGGGAGGCAGCAGUAGGGAAUCUUCCGCAAUGGGCGAAAGCCUGACGGAGCAACGCCGCGUGAGUGAUGAAGGUCUUCGGAUCGUAAAACUCUGUUAUUAGGGAAGAACAUAUGUGUAAGUAACUGUGCACAUCUUGACGGUACCUAAUCAGAAAGCCACGGCUAACUACGUG
RNAcentral lists this ribosomal RNA (497 nucleotides) under uncultured bacterium. RNAcentral's name for it is "partial 16S ribosomal RNA". It matches the Rfam family "Bacterial small subunit ribosomal RNA", at positions 28 to 507 of the family's 1533-position model. The record is from RNAcentral.